Lates calcarifer (barramundi perch) is the source of this 1900-nucleotide long non-coding RNA. RefSeq lists it as uncharacterized. Lineage: Eukaryota; Metazoa; Chordata; Actinopteri; Centropomidae. The transcript has 5 exons. The record is from RefSeq and is a predicted model, not a curated record.
GUCAGACCAAAGGGGAAAAAAAACAAUGCAGCUUUACAAAUUAAACACAUCGUUGAGCAACAUACCAGUUGUGUGAGUUACGCCCUUAAAACACCUUAAUGCCACAAAAGAGCAGGUGUUAUUGACAAAUAAAGGGCAAGUGUCUACAAGCCAUUAUGUAUAAUACCAAACGGCCCGUUUGUACUCUCUGUUACUGUGUAAUGGUAUAAAUAACCCCGGUGCAAAACAUGAGAACAGCCGACGUGGCAGGGAGGCGCUCCGGAGCAGCUUCAUGCCCAGAACAACAGCACAGGGGGCAGCAAAGCAUCUUCCAUCACGGUUAAACGCACCAGCCAGGCAAAUGAUGACAAGCAACGAAGGCAACUCCAUCUACUGAGGAAGGCCAUGAAAUGUGGACGAAAGCCUCAUUAACAUAUAACGUCUUUGUCUUCAUCCAUGUCUGUCUCUUCAAUGUCCUGCUGUGGAUGAGCUCACCGCUGCCUGUUUCCUGGCUGACUCAUCGUGGUUGGUUCUGACGACAGACGAGCUGACUGACGGCUCCCCACUCUGCAUCUGUAGCAGUGUGAAGGCACCUGCCCUGAAUAAGAUGACGUCUGUGGCCUCUGUGAGUCAUCCAGACCCUUAAGAGCUGGCGAGAAAACCAUAGCUGACUGGCUGUACCCUCCUUUCUCCCCCCUUAAAGCCUGGGAUGAGGCAGUUCCAAUCAUCUGGCUGAACAACAGGCACAAAAUGAGCAGUGUCCUGGGAGUCAUUGACCUCAGGUGUGAAACGUCACUCCCAGGGGGUCGGUGUGCAUUAGCAGUCUCCCAUGCAGCAGAUGGCAAACCCCAGACAAUGAGUGGAUGAGACAGACGAGCCAGGUAAAGAAAAGGGAGGGGCUGAAAUGUGUUAAUCUCCCACUGCUUGGCUGUUGGAGCAGCGACUUCAGACCUACAUGCAUCAGUGGGUGGGGGGAAGGACUGCUGUAUCUAAGUGAUAAUAUACAGCAUGUAAUCCUCUCAGGGGCUGAGUUUAGAGGUAUAGCAUAUAUUGUUAAAAUGCAAGGCUGACUGGAUUGCAGAGAAUUUCACGAUGAUUAGAUGAAACAGGAUUUUUCCAAAUCUCAGAUUCAUGGAACUGAGGCAAUGACAUGAAGAUUCAGCACCACCUGUUCUCUGUUGACCUCCAGUAACCCAUCCCCCUCCUGUUAUGUACUUUCAUUCAGGGAGUAGCUUAGCAAUUUAGCCAAAUAGGCUUACUUGUCAGACUCAUCUGCUUUGCCAACCUCCACCGUCACUUGUGUGCUUUCUCUCAGUUAUGCAAACAUUUAAGUUGCUUAGAUUUGCUGUCGUUUCAGUUUGGUCAUGUUUGCUGGGCUGUGAGAUGCAUAAAUUGAAGCAUAUCAUUCUUCUUGACAGUGAACAGGUCCGCUCAGCAGUGGGUUUAGUCUCAGUUUUAAAUAGCUGCUCCUGCUCCUGUUCAUUUACUGUUGAGCCUCAGCCAACAAGACAAAAGAAAGUUGGACAGACUGUCAAAAAUGACGAUAACUAAGCCCAUUAACUCCUCAGGAUAAGCAUCUUUCCUGUCAAGGAUUAUUUGCAAACUGACCCACAUUGUGAUUGUUACUUGGUAUUUCUUUUUCUUAGGUGACAAUUAAGACUAUAUUUUUGCUUACAUUUUAUUUCUACUUGUUUGAAUUUUCUCCUUGUUCCAUUUAAUUCAGUUAAUUAGCUAUUUAUUUAACAUGGCUGCUCCCAUAAACUUACAGUAAAAGAAUUUAAAUUAAAUAGACAAUUCAGCCAGUGAUUUGGUUUUUGACAAUGUGUGUCUAUUGCAUUCAGCAGUUUGUACAACAAUAUACAUUCAGAAUGUACAUCUUUUGUAUUAUUGUAGUAAUAAAUGUAAAACUGCCUAAUUUUGA